GGAGGCAGCAGUGAGGAAUAUUGGUCAAUGGCCGAGAGGCUGAACCAGCCAAGUCGCGUGAGGGAUGAAGGUUUAUGGAUCGUAAACCUCUUUUAUAAGGGAAUAAGUGCGGGACGUGUCCCGUUUUGUAUGUACCUUAUGAAUAAGGAUCGGCUAACUCCGUGCCAGCAGCCGCGGUAAUACGGAGGAUCCGAGCGUUAUCCGGAUUUAUUGGGUUUAAAGGGUGCGUAGGCGGCCCCUUAAGUCAGCGGUGAAAGUCUGUGGCUCAACCAUAGAAUUGCCGUUGAAACUGGGAGGCUUGAGUAUGUUUGAGGCAGGUGGAAUGCGUGGUGUAG
This 335-nucleotide ribosomal RNA is filed under the name uncultured bacterium. RNAcentral's name for it is "bacterial SSU rRNA". It matches the Rfam family "Bacterial small subunit ribosomal RNA", at positions 344 to 678 of the family's 1533-position model. The record is from RNAcentral.